Molecule: RNA transcript, 8704 nt
Organism: Gambusia affinis (western mosquitofish)
Lineage: Eukaryota; Metazoa; Chordata; Actinopteri; Cyprinodontiformes; Poeciliidae
Gene: sox1a
Gene name: SRY-box transcription factor 1a
Exons: 2
Source: RefSeq, a predicted model, not a curated record
UCUCUGGAUCCCUUUUGAAGUCAGCAGAGUGAGACAUCUGUCCAGCCCUGUUUGAGUUUACUUCCCACUCAGCCACCACAUCUCAAUUAGCCGAUCUGAUGUUUCUGUGGAUGUGUGCGCGUGUGUCUGGGUGUGUCCAUGUGUAUGGAUUUGGUUUUGUUUGUGCGGCUGAGGUGACGGACAGGCUGAUGGGAAGAUAAUAUGCCGAGAACAACAACCGAAAGGGACCUUGGAUUCAUUCAUCGUGACGAUAAUGAAUUUGAGAGAAAAUCCUUGUCUGUUCAUUAGCUAUUGAGUCUAGAUGACACAGCUUUCCUGAAGCUGUCAGCCACAGAUGUCCCCCGCUGAAGGAGUCUGCAGCACCUGAGUCCUUUCAGGCUAAUAAGGUUGCAAUUAGCAGAGCAGCGAGAGACCCUGAGAAAGGGUCUCUCGAUUUAGAGUGAGAGGCACAAAAGUGAUCUUUGUGACUCCUUUUUUUAAUUUAGUUCCACUCGGAGCUUUCAAACAAUUCAGAUAACAUUUUAGUUUGCAUGGAGCUUGUUCAGAUGACGUACUCUCAUCAUGUAUCACAUUCAAUUUAAUUAUUUAUUUGAUCUCUCUUUGCCUAGGUAGGAGUGAUCCAACUCAAACCUUUAAGAACUGUUAAAAAAACAACAUUGAUGGGCAGUAGUUAAUCUACAAACACAAACAACCCCAGUAUAGGGACUGAGUAACUGUGGGAACUAACAUGUGCAAAGGAAACAAGGGGACAAACAAACUAAACAUAACAUGAAACACAGACGCCAAAUUCACCAAAACACAUCAAACAAACUAAAACCUUAAAAGUUACCAACUAAACUAAAGUCUUUCAAGUACGGUAGAGUUAUUUAAGCUUUUAAGAACAGUCCAUACGUUUUGAAUGAAGGUAAAGUAGGGUAAUUUUUUUCUAUAGCACAGUUUCAGUAUCGAGGCAUUUCAAAGUGCUUUACAUGAAUUAGAAGGGAAGACAAACAAAACAAUAAAACCAAAAGAAAAACAAAAAGGUAAAAGUUCAAACCGAAUAUUGGUUCCCCAUGUUUAAUAAGAGUAAGAACGAAUAGUCCAUAAUUUAUAAACUAACAGGGGUUUCUCUGGAUCUUCAGUUUGUUUUGGAUUAGAGAGGAAGAAAAAAACUAAACGUAGGCUCUCCAAACCGAGGCUAUUCCAGAAAUUUAACAUCAAUCUGCAUGAAUUAUUCGAAUGGGUAUUGAAUCCUCAAUACCCAUUUUAUGAACUGCACCAAUCUCACUGACAGAAAAGCAGUCCCACAGCAUGAUUCUCCCACCUCCGUGCUUGAUAGUUGGUCCACGGUUCUCACGUCCCCUAUUAUAGAGGCAGGACAGCUUCGCCUUUUAUAGUGGGAGUUUCCUUCUUGGUCAUCACUGUGUCAAGUCAUGGCAAUAUGAAAUUUGCUUUACAGUAGAAACCAGUUGACAAACUUAAUUUAAAGCACACAACUACAUAAAUAUGUUGGUAGAUUCAGCUUUAUGUAAUUUGACCUGUUUUAGGGCUGGUAAAAUAACAUUAUGCAGGCUGUCCAGUUGUGGACAGUUAGAAUGUCCAACUGGACAUUUUAACUGGAUUAUUUAUUGAAAAUUCUGCUAGUUUUGCACCAGAUGUAUUGGAGCAAACGCGUUCCUAAAACUUCCACUCCAUUUCCAGAGGCUACUCCUGAGAAGAUUCGCCACCGCUCCAUGUUUUCUUCAUCUGGAAGAGCAGCACUCACUGUGGUUCAAAGGAGGCGCAAAGCUUAAAAAUGGCUCGCAAAACAGUCCAGACUGAUUGGUGUCAAUUACUUUGCUUCUCAACUGUUCAGAUGUGAGGUUUUUUUAAUCUUUUGGCCUACUUCAUGUUGUCAGACAGGUUGAGUAUUCAGGUCCCAGGAGUCUCUUAAGGUUAGCAAAGUGACUGUUGGCUCAGCUGUUCGACUGACAGCGGUAAUGGUAUUGGUCCAGGUUUUCUUGCAGCACCAAAGGUGGUGUUGGACAGAGGUGACCAAAUCAUGGAGGAGCAGGGUCAGGGAAGGUAAGCGAUGACGCAGCUUGAGUCACUCUUCAUUGUUUCUCCUUCCUGAACAGAUUGUGUUGGAGAGCAGACGGGCAGACAUAGGUGAUCUAGAGGAGAUCCAAAGGGGAAUGAAAGUCUGGAGUAGAAGGGAUUGGAGAGGAGCGAAGACUGUCAACUCCAACUUGUGGAGACCAAGGCAAAGUGACUGUGACCAGUGGACAUGGAUCACCCAGUGGAAACCAUAAUUUACUGAUAGCACCCUGUCUCCUCUCUCAGCUGGCAGGCCAUCAUUACAUCAAGCACUGGAAGAAAGGUGCUGUGAGAAAUGGAAAAAGGACUUUCAAGAAAAUGUCAGAGACAAUCACAUCCUUAAAUUUACUCUUUACACUCUGAUUCCACUGAUUGCCCAAUAUUUUGUGUAAAUGUGAUUUCAGCACAUCUGGACCACAGCACAAAUGGUGCCUUGCAGAAGUAUUUAUACCGCCUGAAUAGAUAUGAGAUAGAUGUUAAAGGCUACUCGGAAAUUUUGAAAAAUGUACAAUGCAUUUGUACAUUUCUUCGUCACACACAAAAAAAAGGUCACCUUGUGGAGACAUAGAUGUAAACUACUUUACAUCUAUGUGCUGUAAUCUUUGUAAAAAUAAAAAUAAAAAUGCAGCUGAUCUGUGAUAGUCUUGGGAGUUUGCCAGAGAACAUUGUUUAAGAAAAAACAUGACAACAUGAAAACACACCAGGGAUAAAGUUAAGUAGAAGUUUGAAAGCACUACAAUGACUGUGAACCUCUCAUGAAGUUAUUUUUAACCUAUCAAUCAGACAUGGACAGAUCAUGACACAGCUGGAGCUAAAUACACUCCAACUGUUUUUGCUGUUGGAGUAAAACAGACGACAGCAAAUACCCACCAGAGGCUUUCUAGGGACAGAUUAGAUCAAAGUACAUUCAUAUGCCUCGUUUAGGUGUAGUCAAAGCCCACACCUAAAUCCAAAUGAGAAACUGCAGCAAAAUUGAAAGCUGAUGUUCAGAGAUGCUUGAUGUUGCACAUCGGUAGAGACAUAUCCCCAAAGGACUUGAAGCAAUUACAGCAACAGGUGCUUCUACAAAAUAUUAGCUCUGAAUGUGCAUGUACACUGUGCUUUUUAGAGUUUGAUUUGUUUGAAAAAAUGGAAAGAAAUGUGCUUAUUUACCUGCACGUGGCAAUCAUGUACUAGCCUGUAUUGAUCUAUCAGAUAAAUCCAAUUAAAUGACUGGAGAAUUUCUAAUUGUAAUGUGUCAAAAUCUAAAGGAAUUAAUUGGGUGUGAAUACUUUUGUGAGGCACCGUGGACUCAAGGACUGGGUAACUGCAGCUCUCCUUUUCUAGUCUCAGUUCCAGAAAACCUCACCAUCUUAAUAAUCUUAGCCCCUUAGCUGGCAUGUUUUCCAAGAAUCCGCUGCAUUUUUUGUUAGCAAAAAUUGUCACAAACUUUUCAUGACUAUUCCUAUUUAUUGUGUAAGCAGAAAACAGUCACCUUACACAGAGUUAAUGCCUGUUAAAGGGAAUCAAUCAAAACUCUGCUGUCUGUUUUCUGUUCGGCCAUGGCCCUCAGUCACUGUGGUAAGUGGGAGCAAUUUUAAUUUGAAAACAAACCUCUGGCAGGUUCUUUUUAUGCAGACACAAGAAAGGAAAUAGUGCUUAGUUAUGUUCUAAUUAACAUAUUUCUGGUGUGAGAGUGUGCAUGUCACAUGUUAUUGUUUAGGUUCAGAGCCACUGGCUUGUUUUACAGCUGAUGAUGUGAUUUUGGUUGGUUUUAGAGGUAAAAGAAGGGAAAAAAAGAAGAAAAGAAGAGCAAAUUAAAUAAACUGAAAAUGUUCUUCCCUGUGUAAAGAUAAUAAUGCACAAAAAAUAAAAUGUAUUUUCUAAUUCAGAAGUAAAUUAACUCAUCAAAGUAAAAGUUGCAGAAAAAGUUUCAGCAUUUAAAAUAUGUAUUAAUUCCAAGGCCUAAAUGUGCCCUCAAUUAUUUUACUGUUGCCCCUUAAGUAAUUGAUUUUGGGCAGAGAAAAACACGAGGUGGAGGGGUGAUCCUUGUUGUUAUGAAAAAAAAAUACAAAACCAAUAAAUGGGAAAAUAACUGACGUUGUAAUUCCUGUGAGUGCUGUAACCUUGCUUUAUUGAUUUGCUUUUUUUUCAUAAAAGACAUUUGAGUUACAGCCUCAAAAUUGAACCCAUGAUACCAUAAGUCACAAUAAUUUGUCUAUUUUUGAAUUUUUUUUCUCUCUCUUUCUCUUUCACUGACGUGAACAGGCGAACAGUGAACGGACAACAACAACAAAAACAUGCAUAGAGACAAGAUAAUGAGCUUCUCAGGUGACUACAUGCAGUGAUUACCAGGUUUCUGGUGUUACCACAAAAACCUGCGCUCUGUCUUUGCACACACACGCCUGCACACUCUUGAGAGAUCCUUGGUUAUCACACCCUUCCAGAUUGUUACCAACUACUUAUGGAAAACACACACACACGCGCGCGCGCACACACACACACACACACACACACACACACACACAUCUCAAGAUGUGGCCACUCUUGCCAAUAUGAGCACAGUGUUAAGAACAGUUGUUGUUUCGUGCAAAUAUAUAUGUGUGCGUGUGUGUGUGUUUGUGGGGGUUUUUUAGUAUCUCUAAAUUCCUAGCGUUGCUAAGGUGCUUUGGGAGGGGGAUUAACAGACGCUGGCGCCGAUGAGCAAGCCUCGCAGAUUUCCAACCGGCAGGAAAAGAGACAAAGAAAGACGGGAAAGACGGAGGAAGAGCAGCAGCGGGUAAGACAACAGGGAGACGACAGUAACAGCUUGUGUAAACACGAUGACUUAAGAGACGCAAAGAGGGGUAAGGCGACAGAACAGGUAUACUAAGCGACUGGUUUGAACUUUUAACCAGACCCGUGGGAAAAUGUUUUUUUAUAUAUAUAGCCUAUAUUGUGUUCUCUCCAUCUCCUCGCCGUCUUCCUCUCUAUUACUUCCCAUCUCUUCAUUCCCAACCCUAAGGGCAAUAAUUUCAGAUCGAGACGCUUUUGUGUCGCUGUUUUGUUUUGUUUUUUUUCUUCAAACUUCAAACACUGUCAGCAUUGAGGUCACGCUGCUGCGCCCGGAGCAUCGGUGACUGCGCUGUCUCAGGUGAACAUCUCUCCCAGCGCGUCCUUUACGACUCUCCCCUUCCCUUUCUACUGAUAUCAAAAGUCUGUACACCGCUGGUAAAAAAAGAAAAAAAAAAAAAAAAAAAAGUUUUUCUGCAUUAUUCAACUGGAAAACAAACAGAUCUGUUGGAGGGAAAAAAUCUGCAAUAAUACAUGCACAAUCUGGAAUGAAUAAGUCAUAUCUUUAAAGCAUAUUUUCAUUACAUUGCAACAGUCUGUGUUUUUGGGGUUCAGAUCUAACAUCUGUUAACGUUAAUUUGAUCAACUUUAAACAAAGUUCAGCUGCACUUUGUUAAUUGCUUCUUUCAUCCUUCAGCUAAAUCCAUAGCUUGAGGGGAAGCUACACAUUAUUAAGAUGAUCCUGUUGUGGAGGUAUCAAUGAAGAAGAAAGGCGCAAAAAAAAAAACUUCACAGCUUUACAUACACACCAGUGCCAGAGUGAAUCGAGUGACAUUACUAAAACCGGACUUUUCUCCAAAAUAUACACUGACAAGAUGAAAAUUGAGGCCACCAAGAGAAUGACAGCAUCGCUCAAGAGGUUUCAGGAGUUCGUGGUUUGUGCUGGUUGUGAUCUGCAUGUGAUGACAGUUUGCUGUUUUUCCUAGAUGUUUGGACUCAUGAGUAGGAUGGAAAGACAGAACCAGUUUCUUCCAAAUAAAACAUUAAUACCUGGCUAAAACAUCCCAUGUGUUAGGAUGGGAGUUUUAGAGUGGCCAAGGACAAGUCUAAAUAUUAUAGAUCCAGGAGGCUUUGGACAAGAGAAGGUGUCACAAUCUGAUAGAUUUGGUGGAUUUGGCACAUAUCGUCAUAUCAAGACGUAGGAACCUGACUCCUAUUAAAAAUGCUGAAAACUGAAACUGAAUCAAAAAGUGCUUUAACAAGAUGUUGAUUUUAGGGUUUGCAGGUAUGAAAGCAAUUUGUUGGAUUUUGCUCAUCUUUCAGAUUUUUCAACCACAAAUAUUUCUUUUUUUUAAUGUAAUUGUACUGAAUCUGUCACAUUGUGAAUGUAGAUACAGACUUAUUCAAUACGUUACUGAAAAGUCUAUUUAUUUUAGGAACUUUAUUACUAAGUGAAAUACAUUGUAUAGAUGAACUGCACACAGAAAGAUGUUUGAAAGCCUUUUCUGUGUUCACUAUGAUAAUUUUUCUCUUGCAGCUGAUGAAAACACAUUUAAAACUAGGAUAUUGCAUCAGACCAUUAGAAAAAGCAGUAUGUAUAGAAACAGAAAAGUGGGUUUAGUAAAAAGUAUGUCUAAAACCUCUUUGAAGGUUGUCAUUGUCGAAAGGUGCUUUUAUUCUGACAAAGGAGACUCAUUGGGACAUAUAUUGCAAUUUAUUGAAUGACUGUAUUAAAAAUGACGUUUUCUUCAACCAAAGUAGGUGUAGCUUUAGGGUCAGGGUGGUCUAGAUGCUUGUUUUUCUUUAAUCCACUCCCCAGACUCGGCUUCUCAGGUAAAAUGUAACUAGACGCCGCCUGUUUGUGGAGUACAAGGCACUUGACCAAGGGCCAGCACUGCUCCUCCUUCAUCUCCCAUCCCCUCCCUCCCCUAUCCUUCCCCUAACUGGAUCAGUUUACCAGCCCCCCAGCCACCCACACCUCCACUCCUUCCCGAUCCCUCACUGAAAGGUAAUGUAUUUUCCAGCCACAUCACUGUCGGAGGAAGUCAAAACGCAUGCGUCUGUAUAUUUGUACACCGUCCAGACAGGUGUUUGAGACCUUGUCUGGACCUCGGCAGCUGGGCUCCUGUAACCAUGCCCGUCUCUCUGCAAGGGGUUGGCUAGAGUGACUGAGUUGGCCGAGGUGCGGCGGCGGCUGUCUUUCAACCACUGAUCCCUGAGAACUACUCACCUGAUCAGCCUGGAUCUGCGCUACGCGGCUGCCGGGGUCACACAACCCAACCCCGGGGUCAAGCAGCUAAUUACAGAUCCCUGUGUCCUCCGUCUCUGUCACCGCUGGGAAAAUGGCGAAGGUGGGGAAAGAAGAGGCCUGAGAGGAGAGGGGAUGAAAGGAGAAAAUAUCGACUUAGACAUCAAAAGGUCAACACUGAGGGUAAACCAAGCUGUACAUUUCUUCCUCUUGCGGAAUAAAAUAAAAAUAGACUGAAGUUCUGUGAGGUUCUGGAGCAGAAUCUACAUACUGGAUAUGGAUUUGUGUCUUUAAGCCUUUCUUCGUCUUCACUCUUUAAUACUUUCAGAAUUAGCCCAAAAUACAUUGCUUUGCAAACGUAUUCACACCUCUUGAACAUUUUCACUGUCUGUCACAUUAAAACCACAAACUGGAAGUAUUUUAUAGGGAUGUUGUGACAGAACAACACAAAGUAAUGUACCAAGUCUUUCAAUAGUGGGCUUCUUCUUACCGUUAGUUCAUAAGACACCAGCUGUGCUCCACAACUAAUCAUUGUCUGUUUUGACAGAUUCUUCCCCUUGCUGCAGAUGUUUCUCGGAUUGACCUUCUUGCUUCCCGUCGCCUGAUGGUUUAGGUGGACGACCAUGUACUGGUAGGUUUCCAGUUGGGGCUUUUCUCUUUUUCUUUUGAGAUGAUGGAUUGAGUAGUUCUGCAUGAGAUGUUCAAAGUGUGAGGUACUGUUUUACAAACCGUGCUCUAAACCUCUGCACAAUUGUAUCCCUGACAUGUCUGCUGUGUUCCUUGUCAUCAUGAAUUGGUUUGCUCUGUAAUGUUUCGAACCUCUGUGGGCUUUUCAGAGCAGCUGGACUCGUAUUGAGAUUGAAUAACAUGCAGGUUUAUGCUGUUUACUAAUUUGGUUACUUCUGAACUAACAAAUGAUCCGUUGGUUGCACUGAAUUGUAUGUUAUCAGAGCAGAAACUAUUUUUAAAUAUUUUUGUCUGUGGGCUAAAAUAUCAGCAUUUACUUCCAUUUCUUGUAAUACUUUGUGUUGGUGCACAAAAUCUCAGAAAACACAAAGAUGUCUGUAACAAAAUGUGUAACAGCAUCAAAGGACGUGAAUACUUUUGCAAGGCUGCUGUUUGACUAAAAGAGCUGUGUUACUUUAGAGCAUAUCGCAGCUCUAAAGUAACACAAACUCUCCUCUUUUGAGAAUGUUGUAUUUUCUUUCUGUCAUGAAAGAUUUUUUUUUUUUUUCUAGUGUGACCUUUUUUUUAUUUGCUGUCUCCACCGACUGAGCUGUGGGUUUUAAAAGAUGCUGCACACCGGCAAACAAAGUGAGCACACAUCCACACACACACACGUAUGUAUAAAAUGAGAAAAAAAAUAAAAAUAAAAUAAGCACUUACCAGACCGGUGUUACAUUAUAUUAGACUGCAGGUUCAUUAAUCACAAAUGCGAGGGCUUCUCAACCAACGUAGGAAAUUAAUCAAAGAAGGGGACAUUAAUCACAUGCAUGAACAGCAGUAGUUACACCUGUGACAAAGCCAUCUGAUUUAAACGUGUUGCUCCAGCCUGUGUUAAUGAUGCCACCCAGGGCCAGGCAAGGCAACCUCUCCGCCAUCACUGAAACAAUAAUGCGCUAACUAUGAAGCAAUUUUCUUAGGUGUAUG